AUCAAUCAAUCAAUCAAUUUAUUAUUUAAAGUGCAAAAUCACCAUGGUACAUGGUCUCAAUACACUUUACAAAAUAUCAAGUACAAUAAUAACAAUAUUAAAACAAUAUUAAAACACCAUAGGAAUAUGAUAAAACAGUUAAAAAUUAGUUUAAACCAAAGUAUUGAGUAAAAAGGUAUGUUUUAAGACGGGACUUGAAAAUUGCAGGAGGAUUUUAGCAAUGUUGCGCAGAUGAAAGAAGGCCGACCUGGUGGUUUCCUUGAUGUGAGUCCGGAAAGUCA
Molecule: long non-coding RNA, 281 nt
Organism: Gadus macrocephalus (Pacific cod)
Lineage: Eukaryota; Metazoa; Chordata; Actinopteri; Gadiformes; Gadidae
Exons: 2
Source: RefSeq, a predicted model, not a curated record